RNAcentral lists this long non-coding RNA (525 nucleotides) under Mytilus galloprovincialis (Mediterranean mussel). Lineage: Eukaryota; Metazoa; Mollusca; Bivalvia; Mytilida; Mytilidae. The record is from RNAcentral.
UUCUCUAUAAGAAUUAGGUUAUGAGUAAAAAAGCAUAUUCUUUUAGAAAAAAGCGUUAUUAAUCGCACUAAACGUCACGCGCUUUUACAUUUAACGUUAUAGUUUAUUGAUUGAUGAGCAAUUGUUUUUUUGUAAAUAUUUUCAUGGAAUAUGACAUAAAACAUUGAAAUAUUGGCCUCUGUGCAUAUCUUUUUUUUUUAAAGUCAAUAAAACUGCAAAUGUGCAUCAUUCAACGACAGUAUAUUUAUAGUAUUCUACCUUGAAAACUUUAAAUUACUCCAAAGUUUGUAAAUAAACAUUUAUGGGGAAAUACGUGAUGCUUAAUUCAACAUAAAUAUAGGCAACAGUAGUAUACCGCUGUUCGAAAUUCAUAAAUAAAAUUGACAUUGAAUGACUAUUUAUGAUGAAUUUUUACAUUUUGAUUUGAACACAAUUUACCGUCUGUGAUAAUGCACACAGACUACAUUAAUGUGCGUACGUUUCUAUUUGACCUACGAUACAUGUACAAACUUUCCAAUGUUCAAU